AUUGAACGCUGGCGGCAGGCUUAACACAUGCAAGUCGAACGAUGAAACUCUAGCUUGCUAGAGAAGAUUAGUGGCGGACGGGUGAGUAACAUUUAGGAAUCUGCCUAGUUGUGGGGAAUAGCUCGGGGAAACUCGAAUUAAUACCGCAUACGACCUACGGGUGAAAGGGGGCGCAAGCUCUUGCUAUUAGAUGAGCCUAAAUCAGAUUAGCUAGUUGGUGGGGUAAAGGCCCACCAAGGCGACGAUCUGUAACUGGUCUGAGAGGAUGAUCAGUCACACCGGAACUGAGACACGGUCCGGACUCCUACGGGAGGCAGCAGUGGGGAAUAUUGGACAAUGGGGGCAACCCUGAUCCAGCCAUGCCGCGUGUGUGAAGAAGGCCUUUUGGUUGUAAAGCACUUUAAGCAGGGAGGAGAGGCUAAUGGUUAAUACCCAUUAGAUUAGACGUUACCUGCAGAAUAAGCACCGGCUAACUCUGUGCCAGCAGCCGCGGUAAUACAGAGGGUGCGAGCGUUAAUCGGAAUUACUGGGCGUAAAGCGAGUGUAGGUGGCUCAUUAAGUCACAUGUGAAAUCCCCGGGCUUAACCUGGGAACUGCAUGUGAUACUGGUGGUGCUAGAAUAUGUGAGAGGGAAGUAGAAUUCCAGGUGUAGCGGUGAAAUGCGUAGAGAUCUGGAGGAAUACCGAUGGCGAAGGCAGCUUCCUGGCAUAAUAUUGACACUGAGAUUCGAAAGCGUGGGUAGCAAACAGGAUUAGAUACCCUGGUAGUCCACGCCGUAAACGAUGUCUACUAGCCGUUGGGGUCCUUGAGACUUUAGUGGCGCAGUUAACGCGAUAAGUAGACCGCCUGGGGAGUACGGCCGCAAGGUUAAAACUCAAAUGAAUUGACGGGGGCCCGCACAAGCGGUGGAGCAUGUGGUUUAAUUCGAUGCAACGCGAAGAACCUUACCUGGUCUUGACAUAGUGAGAAUCUCUCAGAGAUGAGAGAGUGCCUUCGGGAACUCACAUACAGGUGCUGCAUGGCUGUCGUCAGCUCGUGUCGUGAGAUGUUGGGUUAAGUCCCGCAACGAGCGCAACCCUUUUCCUUAUUUGCCAGCGGGUUAAGCCGGGAACUUUAAGGAUACUGCCAGUGACAAACUGGAGGAAGGCGGGGACGACGUCAAGUCAUCAUGGCCCUUACGACCAGGGCUACACACGUGCUACAAUGGUAGGUACAGAGGGUUGCUACACAGCGAUGUGAUGCUAAUCUCAAAAAGCCUAUCGUAGUCCGGAUUGGAGUCUGCAACUCGACUCCAUGAAGUCGGAAUCGCUAGUAAUCGCGGAUCAGAAUGCCGCGGUGAAUACGUUCCCGGGCCU
This 1355-nucleotide ribosomal RNA is filed under the name uncultured bacterium. Its description in RNAcentral is "bacterial SSU rRNA". It matches the Rfam family "Bacterial small subunit ribosomal RNA", at positions 28 to 1381 of the family's 1533-position model. The record is from RNAcentral.